CAGCAGCCGCGGUAAUACAGAGGAUGCAAGCGUUAUCCGGAAUGAUUGGGUGUAAAGCGUCUGUAGGUGGCUUUUCAAGUCCGCCAUCAAAUCCCUGGGCUCAACCCUGGACAGGCAGUGGAAACUACCAAGCUGGAGUACGGUAGUGGCAGAGGGAAUUUCCGGUGGGGAGGUGAAAUGCGUUGAGAUUGGAAAGAACACCAACGGUGAAAGCGCUCUGCUGGGCCGACACUGACACUGAGAGACGAAAUCUAGGGGAGCAAAUGGGAUUAGAUACCCCAGUAGUCCCUGUCUCUUAUAC
RNAcentral lists this ribosomal RNA (301 nucleotides) under uncultured bacterium. RNAcentral describes it as "partial 16S ribosomal RNA". It matches the Rfam family "Bacterial small subunit ribosomal RNA", at positions 509 to 807 of the family's 1533-position model. The record is from RNAcentral.